AGAGCUGGAGAGCCGGGUAAAGAAGGAGAAGAAGGGGGAGGGAGACUGAAAGGAGUAGAAGUAAGCGGUCUGUUGACACAGCUGCCCUCUACGACCUCUGCUAUGUGCCGUCCCACAGAACGACACUCUUCGAAGGCAGCAGCCCCGCGCGAGGCUACGACGGCCUCCUCCGCGACAGCACGAGCGGACGCGCGCGUUCGACGCCCAAAAAACGUGCUCGACCGAGGUUCCCGGCCCGCGAUGUUGAACUCCUCGAGGUUCGGCUGAUGGACAACACCGAGAGGCCUCAAUGAGUACGCUGCGCCCUUCCUUCAGCGGUACCUUGUUGGGGCGGCGGAACCUCGAGCGGGGCGGAGGCCGGGUGGUGGAGAGGCAGCCGGAGCACCAGGAGGCGGAGCUAGGCAGGCGACCUAGGUGCGCGCCUCGUCGGCAUAGGCGGCGGGUCUGGUGGUUGGUUCUCAGCGGAGAACGGACAGUACGCCAGCCCUCCUCCUGCUGGCUCUCCUCGCGGGUAAGUAGGCGGCGGAACCUCGAGCGGGACGGAAGCCCGGCCGUGGAGAGGCAGCCGAAGCUAGGCAGGCGGGGCGGCGGGUCUGGUGGUUGGUUCGCGGCGGAGAACGGACAGGACACCAACGUCCAGUUUAUUAUUUUUGACGUCCCAGGAAAUACAUUUUUGCUUAGCAAAAAAGCCUAAUCGGUGAAUUUUUAUCCUGGCGCCCAGCUUAAGAGACUUUGUCUACCUGAAAAUACGUUUUAGCGCGCGCUGCUGCAUGUCCGUCUUUGGGUUAAGAGAAAUAA
RNAcentral lists this ribosomal RNA (798 nucleotides) under Triticum aestivum (bread wheat). RNAcentral describes it as "partial small subunit ribosomal RNA". Lineage: Eukaryota; Viridiplantae; Streptophyta; Magnoliopsida; Poales; Poaceae. The record is from RNAcentral.